AUGCCUUAGUAACGGCGAGUGAAGCGGCAAAAGCUCAAAUUUGAAAUCUGGCGUCUUCGACGUCCGAGUUGUAAUUUGAAGAAGGCAACUUUGUAGCUGGUCCUUGUCUAUGUUCCUUGGAACAGGACGUCAUAGAGGGUGAGAAUCCCGUGUGGCGAGGAUCCCAGUUAUUUGUAAAGUGCUUUCGACGAGUCGAGUUGUUUGGGAAUGCAGCUCUAAGUGGGUGGUAAAUUCCAUCUAAAGCUAAAUAUUGGCGAGAGACCGAUAGCGAACAAGUACAGUGAUGGAAAGAUGAAAAGAACUUUGAAAAGAGAGUGAAAAAGUACGUGAAAUUGUUGAAAGGGAAGGGCAUUUGAUCAGACAUGGCGUUUGCUUCGGCUUUCGCUGGGCCAGCAUCAGUUUUAGCGGUUGGAUAAAUCCUCGGGAAUGUGGCUCUGCUUCGGUAGAGUGUUAUAGCCCGUGGGAAUACAGCCAGCUGGGACUGAGGAUUGCGACUUUUGUCAAGGAUGCUGGCGUAAUGGUUAAAUGCCGACCAUCUU
RNAcentral lists this ribosomal RNA (539 nucleotides) under Kluyveromyces lactis. RNAcentral's name for it is "partial large subunit ribosomal RNA". It matches the Rfam family "Eukaryotic large subunit ribosomal RNA", at positions 73 to 655 of the family's 3401-position model. The record is from RNAcentral. Lineage: Eukaryota; Fungi; Ascomycota; Saccharomycetes; Saccharomycetales; Saccharomycetaceae.